CCUACGGGCGGCAGCAGUGGGGAAUAUUGCACAAUGGGGGAAACCCUGAUGCAGCGACGCCGCGUGAGCGAGGAAGUAUUUCGGUAUGUAAAGCUCUAUCAGCAGGGACGAAAAAAGACGGUACCUGACUAAGAAGCCCCGGCUAACUACGUGCCAGCAGCCGCGGUAAUACGUAGGGGGCAAGCGUUAUCCGGAUUUACUGGGUGUAAAGGGAGCGUAGACGGCAAGGCAAGCCAGAAGUGAAAGGGCAGGGCUCAACCCUGUACAUGCUUUUGGAACUGUGGUGCUAGAGUGCAGGAGAGGUAAGUGGAAUUCCUAGUGUAGCGGUGAAAUGCAUAGAUAUAUGGAGGAACACCAGUGGCGAAGGCGACGAUCUGGGCUGCAACUGACGCUCAGUCCCGAAAGCGUGGGGAGCAAAUAGGAUUAGAUACCCCUGUAGUC
RNAcentral lists this ribosomal RNA (441 nucleotides) under uncultured bacterium. RNAcentral's name for it is "partial 16S ribosomal RNA". It matches the Rfam family "Bacterial small subunit ribosomal RNA", at positions 338 to 795 of the family's 1533-position model. The record is from RNAcentral.